AUCUUCUAAGUAUAAACGUACAAAUGACUUCCACUCAUUAGGCCUUAGUAAAAAUACUAAGAGAAGAUA
Eublepharis macularius is the source of this 69-nucleotide non-coding RNA. NCBI's taxonomy places the organism in Eukaryota, Metazoa, Chordata, Lepidosauria, Squamata, Eublepharidae. The record is from the annotation of a RefSeq genome assembly.